AUACGGCGGCUGCGAGCGUUAUCCGGAUUUAUUGGGUUUAAAGGGAGCGUAGGUGGGAUAUUAAGUCAGCUGUGAAAGUUUGGGGCUCAACCUUAAAAUUGCAGUUGAUACUGGUUUCCUUGAGUACGGUACAGGUGGGCGGAAUUCGUGGUGUAGCGGUGAAAUGCUUAGAUAUCACGAAGAACUCCGAUCGCGAAGGCAGCUCACCGGGCCGGAACUGACACUGAUGCUCGAAAGUGCGGGUAUCAAACAGGAUUAGAUACCCUGGUAGUCCGCACAGUAAACGAUGAAUACUCGCUGUUUGCGAUACACGGUAAGCGGCCAAGCGAAAGCGUUAAGUAUUCCACCUGGGGAGUACGCCGGCAACGGUGAAACUUAAAUGAAUUGACGGGG
RNAcentral lists this ribosomal RNA (393 nucleotides) under uncultured bacterium. Its description in RNAcentral is "partial 16S ribosomal RNA". It matches the Rfam family "Bacterial small subunit ribosomal RNA", at positions 523 to 918 of the family's 1533-position model. The record is from RNAcentral.